AGGACGAACGCUGGCGGCGUGCUUAACACAUGCAAGUCACGGGGGCCCGCAAGGGCAACCGGCGAACGGGUGCGUAACACGUGAGCAACCUACCGAGAUGUGGGGGAUAGCCGGCCCAACGGCCGGGUAAUACCGCAUACGCUCUUUCCACGGCAUUGUGGAUUGAGGAAACCUCCGGGGCAUUUCGAGGGGCUCGCGGCCUAUCAGCUAGUUGGUGCGGUCACGGCGCACCAAGGCGACGACGGGUAGCUGGUCUGAGGGAUGGCCAGCCACAUUGGGACUGAGAAACGGCCCAGACUCCGUACGGGAGGCAGGCAGUGGGGAAUCUGCGUCAAUGGACCGAAAGGCUGACGCAGCGACGCCGCGUGUAGGGAGGAGUCCGUUUCGGGUGUAAACCGACUUGGUUGGCCCCGGGACGAACGUA
Molecule: ribosomal RNA, 424 nt
Filed under: uncultured soil bacterium
Lineage: Bacteria
Description: bacterial SSU rRNA
Rfam family: Bacterial small subunit ribosomal RNA
Source: RNAcentral